Molecule: long non-coding RNA, 2812 nt
Filed under: Rhinopithecus bieti (black snub-nosed monkey)
Lineage: Eukaryota; Metazoa; Chordata; Mammalia; Primates; Cercopithecidae
Description: lncRNA (ENSRBIG00000045962.1)
Source: RNAcentral
AUUCAAGGCAGGCCUCAUAACCAAUGACAGAUGUCCUUUUAAGAGAAGAGGCGGAAGAAUCUUUGGUGAGACAAAGAGAAGGUGAUGAGAAGACCCACGUGAAGACAGAGGCAGAGACUGAAGUGAUGUGGCCACAAGCUAAGUGAACUCCUGAAUCCACCAGAAGCUGGAGAAGAUAAGGAAAGAUUCUACCCUAGAGGCUUGGGAAGGACCAUAGCCCUACCCACUCUGACUUUUGGACCCCACAACUGUGAGAAAACAAAUUUCUGUUGUUUUAAGCCACCAGGUUUGUAGCACUUUGUCAUGGCAGCCUUCAGGAAGUAAUUCACGUUGUCCAGGCCCUUUGGCUGGGUAGUCAGAACCACAUGUUCUAAGCUGCUGCUCCAGGUCCUAAUCCUCACGGGGGCGGGUUUGGCACGGUCUUUGCUGGGUUGAAAGAAUAUGUCCAAUGCUGAAGAUAACGAUCAGGAAGCCUACCUGGCAACGGAUAUCCAUGACACUUUCUUCCAUUUCAGCUCUUUUAAAUGAUACUGAUAUAUUAAAAGACGUCUUGUGAUCUCCAUAUGACUCAAUCCUCCUUGUCUUCCUUUCAGUUGUGUAGAACCCAGGAGAGAAACCCCAGUAUCUACAAUAAACUUCUCACUCUCAGAGCCUCAAGACUGUGUAUUAAUAAACCCUGUGUUGGAGAAUAAUGUGAUAAUUUCGAUGUGGAUUCUCAUCCCAUGUGACAAGAAAAGCAUAAAAUAUGGCGUGGUGUUUUUAUUGAAGUUUUAUGCACUGAAUGACAAAGUGAUCGGUUUUGAGACUCACAUCGAGGCAAGCAAAAUUUGCUUACCAGGGGAAUCUCAGACAGAAAACAAUGGAAUUCAACUCUGAGUAGUAUUAGUGGAGUGCAGGAAGAGAAAGGAAAAGGGUGCCUCUACAGGCGGAGACAGGAAAAGGCAGCGAGAAGAGCGUUUUUGAGAAUGGAAUAGUCUUAAAAUAGGCCUGAUUCCCAAAGGUGUCAUUUUUCUCUCUUGCAACUAAGAAUGCAAAUAAAGUUCCUUCCAUAAAAGACGGAAGCAGGGACCAUGAGAAGCAAUCACAGGAGGAGGAAAGUGUGGAGGAAAUGAGGAACCAUCUGCAAAUUACAUGUGUGGAUUUUCACCAGCCACACAGAAAUGCACAAAAUACAUGAGGGCCGUAACUUUGACUGUGGGCAGCUCUGGAGUCAGAGAACUGAACCGUCAUCCCAUCAGUUAAGACACUAGAAAGAAAGUAGCCAGCGUUCCCGAGUUGGACUAGCCAGAAUGGGCGCAGAGCAUCAGGAUCCUGGAAAAAAGUAAUUGGUGGUUGUAUACAUUUGUCAGAUCAUAAUUACUGUAGGUAUUUAUAAAUGGUUCAGUUUAUCAUGAAGAUACGGUUGUUUGCAAUUAACCCUGCUCUCUUGAUGAAAUAUUAAACUAACAACUUCCUCAGGCGUUAUCAAGAAAGAGGUCAUGCCAACAAGAAAUUUCAUAAAAGUUCCUGUUUCCAGAUAGGGUAAUCCACAAAAAUAUACUUUUUACUGCAUGAGAAAAGGAAAACAAAUGAAAUGGGAGUAAAGAAAAUGCAUAAUGCAAAUGCUGUGCUCUAAGAUCGCUUAAUAUAUUAUGUUAUCCAAUCACCAUAACACCAAGAAAGAAAACUGGUAUGAUCUCUGAACUACAAGUGAGCAAUGUAAGACACAUAGUGUGUAAUUAAUAUGCCCAAGGUCAUAUAGCUUGUAAGUGGCCCUACUGGGAUUCAAAUUCAGGACAUCUCAUUUUAAAACCCUGAUUCGUAGCACUUAGCACUCAAUUCCUGGCCCGAAUCACAUAUAGGAUAAGUCAACACAUACAGUUGACUUGAGACCGCCCAGAGAUGAAAUGAUUAGCUAGUGCAUUAAUUUCCUAUUGCUGCUGUAGUAAAUUAUUACAAACGCAGUGGAUUAAACCAACAUACAUUUAGGUAUUAUCUCGUAUUUCUGGAUGUCAGAAGUCCAAAAAGGGUCACUAGGGCCGUACAUCUUUUGAAAGCUCUAAAGGAUUAUCCAUUUCCUUGCCUUGCCUUUUCCAGCCUCUGGAAGCUACUCGUUUCCUUGGCUCACGGCACCUUCCCCCGUCCAUCUUCAAAGCCCAUCACUCCAACCUCCGUUUCUGUUAUCACAUCUUUUUACUGACUUUGUUUCUCCUUUCUUCCUCUUAUAAAGAUUCGUAUGAUUACUUUGAUUGUACCUAGAUAAUCCAGGAUAAUUUCUCUGUUUCAAGAUCCUUAAUUACAUCUGCAAAGUCCCUUUCACUAGGUAAAGUAAUGUACUCACAGGUUCCUGGGAGUAAAACACGGAUAACUUUAGAGGGCCAUUGUUCAGCUUACCAAUAGCUCUUUGUUGAUUGAUAAUGGCAGGUACAUUGCAGAUGUUUUGCCUUUAUUGAAUGCUGGCAGAGUUCAGAUUCUCCCAUAAACAAUGAAAGGUCAGAGUCUUUUCCUGGCCCUCUGCCCACCUGUAUUAGACAGAACCUGCACUCCUAUAAUUGAAAAACAAAAGGUUCAGGAACAUAAUGGGAAACUUAAUGUGGCCAUCUCCUGCUUUUAGAUGGCCGGGGGCUUAGCUGAGCAGAAUCUAUAAGCCAAGCAUCCACAUGGGCUUGUUGGAAUGGGAUGAGUCUGGAGAAAGCGCUUGAUUGAAGAAAUGAGGAUCUAUACCCUGGGAGAAUGAUAGAAAUAACUUGCUUUGCAUCCGAAUUUACAAGCAAAAUUUCAUGGACUGCAAAAGAAAAAUAAAAAGGGUUAAACUGACACUAAAUACAUUUCU